Molecule: long non-coding RNA, 261 nt
Organism: Triticum aestivum (bread wheat)
Lineage: Eukaryota; Viridiplantae; Streptophyta; Magnoliopsida; Poales; Poaceae
Exons: 3
Source: RefSeq, a predicted model, not a curated record
GCACAAAAGGCGUAACGAUCUGGGCACUGUCUCGGAGAGAGGCUCGGUGAAAUAGACAUGUCUGUGAAGAUGCGGACUACCUGCACCUGGACAGAAAGACCCUAUGAAGCUUUACUGUUCCCUGGGAUUGGCUUUGGGCCUUUCCUGCGCAGCUUAGGUGAAAGGCGAAGAAGGCCCCCUUCCGGGAGGGGCCGAGCCAUCAGUGAGAUACCACUCUGAAAGAGCUCGGAUUCUAACCUUGUGUCAGAGAACGGAAGAGCC